Long non-coding RNA from Gorilla gorilla gorilla (western lowland gorilla), 837 nucleotides. RefSeq lists it as uncharacterized. NCBI's taxonomy places the organism in Eukaryota, Metazoa, Chordata, Mammalia, Primates, Hominidae. The transcript has 4 exons. The record is from RefSeq and is a predicted model, not a curated record.
AGGUCACUUUCCUUUGCGCCAGAGACCACAGGCUCCGCCGCUCGAGGCCCAGACCAUAGAGAUGCGGAAACCUCCGGAUUCCUAGAGAGGAAAUGCGGGCUCAGGAUGUCGGCUUCGGGCGGUUGCCCACUUUCGGCUUCUUUCAGACAGCAACACAUUUUGCAAAAUGCUGACAUAAAGCAUUCACCUGGGCACAGGACUGCUCAGAAGGCACUCGCAGCUCUCAAAAGGCAUUUCAGAUCUACUUUUUUGAAAUCAUCUGACUGGAUUUCGUUCAAGCUCUUGUUGCUGAACCAGUCAUCAAUGUCUCAAGCCUUUCCAGUCGUAAUCUCCACAGAAGGCUAAAGCACAGCUAACAAAUGGUGCAGUCAAAGGGAGGCUCUGCCCCCAUGACCAGGCCAUGUCUCAGAGCAGCCACAAAUGACAGCAGGUCUCCAGAUCAGCAACAUGCAGAAAGAGAAGCUGAUGGGGGUUGUGGGGAAAGGCUUCCAUCCCUCAGGGCAAAGGAAGCCAGAAGGUUGACAAAAGGACCCUGUCUCGGUUGGCCUGAAGCAGAGGUGAAUUGAAUUGAGGAGGACACCUUGACAAGGAGAAAAAAAAAUCAAGUCACAGAUGGGGCAGUCUGGGAGGGCUGACAAAGACAGCCCCAUAGUGUGAAGUCACACACAUUUCCUCAGGAAACCAUCUGUUUGAACAUUCUGUCUGUCCAGUCUAGAUUGAUUUGUAGAAGAGAACUGCAGUCUGUUCCACGCCUAGCCUGAGCCAUGGCCUGUACUGCCUGUUAUGUUGUAAGACCCUCUGAUUUCCAGGACCCUCUGGCUUUGGAUUUUGGUCCCC